This 253-nucleotide ribosomal RNA is filed under the name uncultured bacterium. RNAcentral's name for it is "partial 16S ribosomal RNA". It matches the Rfam family "Bacterial small subunit ribosomal RNA", at positions 524 to 776 of the family's 1533-position model. The record is from RNAcentral.
UACAGAGGUGCCGAGCGUUAGGCGGAAUCACUGGGCUUAAAGCGUGUGUAGGCGGACGUCUAAGUACCUUGUGAAAUCCCACGGCUCACCCGUGGAACUGCUUGGUAUACUGGUUGUCUUGAGCCUUCUAGGGGCGAGUGGAACAAAUGGUGGAGCGGUGAAAUGCGUAGAUAUCAUUUGGAACGCCAAUGGUGAAAACAACUCGCUGGGGAAGUGCUGACGCUGAGACACGAAAGCCAGGGGAGCGAACGGG